Molecule: small RNA, 152 nt
Filed under: Arabidopsis thaliana (thale cress)
Lineage: Eukaryota; Viridiplantae; Streptophyta; Magnoliopsida; Brassicales; Brassicaceae
Description: ATSL103450
Source: RNAcentral
UAACCAUAUUCAAGCUCAACUAAUUGAUAGUAGCGUAUUUCAAAAGAUAGUUUGGAAAAGUCCGCGUAUAUCACUAGUGACAAAAAAUUUGAAAUAGCGCGCGCAUUAUGUAGAUUGUCAUUUGAUUCAGUUAAAAUAGUAUUUUCAAUCUU